Non-coding RNA from Acanthosepion pharaonis, 104 nucleotides. Lineage: Eukaryota; Metazoa; Mollusca; Cephalopoda; Sepiida; Sepiidae. The record is from the annotation of a GenBank genome assembly.
GUAGCAUUUAAACAUCAGUUCCCAUAAGAUCAUUGAAGUUAAGCAACAUUGAGCCUGUUCAGUACCUAGAUGAGUGAUAGCUUGGGAAUUCCAGGUGCUGUAAG